AGUGAACGCUGGCGGCAGGCCUAAUACAUGCAAGUCGAACGGCAGCACAGUGGAGCUUGCUCCAUGGGUGGCGAGUGGCGGACGGGUGAGGAAUACAUGGGAAUCUGCCCAGUCGUGGGGGAUAACGUAUGGAAACGUACGCUAAUACCGCAUGCGCCCUUCGGGGAAAGUCGGGGACCGCAAGGCCUGACGCGAUUGGAUGAGCCCAUGUUCGAUUAGCUAGUUGGCGGGGUAACGGCCCACCAAGGCGACGAUCGAUAGCUGGUCUGAGAGGAUGAUCAGCCACACUGGAACUGAGACACGGUCCAGACUCCUACGGGAGGCAGCAGUAGGGAAUAUUGGACAAUGGGCGCAAGCCUGAUCCAGCCACGCCGCGUCGAGUGAAGAAGGCCCUCGGGUUGUAAAGCUCUUUGUUGGG
This 418-nucleotide ribosomal RNA is filed under the name uncultured bacterium. Its description in RNAcentral is "bacterial SSU rRNA". It matches the Rfam family "Bacterial small subunit ribosomal RNA", at positions 29 to 442 of the family's 1533-position model. The record is from RNAcentral.